GUCGUCAUAGCUCAAUGGGAUAGAGCGGCGGUUUCCUAAACCGCGUGUUGUGGGUUCGAUUCCCUCUGGCGACUCCA
RNAcentral lists this transfer RNA (77 nucleotides) under Caudoviricetes sp. RNAcentral's name for it is "tRNA-Arg". It matches the Rfam family "tRNA". From Rfam's summary of the family: Transfer RNA (tRNA) molecules are approximately 80 nucleotides in length. Their secondary structure includes four short double-helical elements and three loops (D, anti-codon, and T loops). The record is from RNAcentral. Lineage: Duplodnaviria; Heunggongvirae; Uroviricota; Caudoviricetes.